ACAUGUCUUUUAGAUUAUAAUUUAAAGUCAGAUCUGCUCCAUGAAUUAAAUUUAAAUAGCUGCAGAAUUUUAACUGUACAAAGGUAGCAUAAUCAAUAGUUUUUUAAUUGAAAGCUGGUAUGAAAGAUUUGAUAAGGUAAUUAUUGUCUCAAUUUUAAUAAAAUUAAAAUUUUUUUUUCAGUAAAAAUACUGAAUUAAUUUUAAAAGACGAGAAGACCCUAUAGAUUUUUAUAUUUUUUAUAAAAAAAAAUUUAAAUUAAUUAAAAAUUUUUUUAUAAAAAAUAUUUGAUUGGGGAAAUUAUUAAAUUAAUAAAAUUUUAAUUUAAUUAAACAAUAAUUAUUGAAUAAAUGAACUUAUUUAAAAAUUAAAAGAAUAAAAUACCUUAGGGAUAACAGCGUUAUUUUUUUAGAGAGAUCUUAUUGAUAAAAAAGUUUGCGACCUCGAUGUUGAAUUAAGAUAAAAUUUUAAUGUAAAAGUUAAAAAUUUUUGGUCUGUUCGACCAUUAAAAUCUUACGUGA
Molecule: ribosomal RNA, 519 nt
Filed under: Hoeocryptus sp. 2 BFS-2018
Lineage: Eukaryota; Metazoa; Arthropoda; Insecta; Hymenoptera; Ichneumonidae
Description: partial 16S large subunit ribosomal RNA
Rfam family: Archaeal large subunit ribosomal RNA (bases 389-519)
Source: RNAcentral